GACAGAAGCGGCAACUACCAAAUGUCAUCGCUGGCCCCCGUGGGCGAACUGGUCUAAUUUGUACCUUCAUGGAUGAUCUUGAACGUGGUUUCAAGCAACAGAGUAGGGAACCCACCACUGCUCCAAUACAAGUCCUUUCCAAAGACCAGAUAAGCAUCACAGGAAGAAAGUGGUUGCAUCACGUAAGCCUGUGAGGUAACUGCAUGUAUAUAGACAACCAAAUUGUGGAAUACUGCAGUUAAGGUGCAAGAGGCAAGUCUCUUUUUCAGAACUGAAACUGUGUGAUGGUAAACCACUCAAAGGGACAAAUUCACAGCUAGGACUGAAGUCUUGAUACUGUGGUAGUGCUGUGCCACCUCUGAGUUGUGACAAAACUGGCAGAUAGCUCUGCAGUGCCUCCCAACCUGACAAUGAAAAAAGACCUUCAGGGAGCAGUUCCAAGGUACACAGGUGAAAUUCCAUCUCCAUCCCAAGUUCUGGGAAUAUCUUCCCCUUCUCACAGCAGGAAAGGGUCUUUCACAGACAAUAGGAACAGUGCCAAUGAUAGACUGUGAUUUAUUUAUACCAGUAAAAAAAGAUUAUGACAGCAACAUCAAAAUA
Molecule: long non-coding RNA, 600 nt
Organism: Chiroxiphia lanceolata (lance-tailed manakin)
Lineage: Eukaryota; Metazoa; Chordata; Aves; Passeriformes; Pipridae
Exons: 3
Source: RefSeq, a predicted model, not a curated record